AUUGGGUAGGGAGGCGGGGAUCUAUCUAUCUCCUUCUCCCCCCGGCACAUGGCUGCUGCGGCGGCUGCGGGGGCGGCGGCUGCGGCUGGGGUGGGGCACGUGGUGGAGCGGUUCCGGGCGCGGCUGCGGGAGGAGGGGGAGGAGGAGGAGGCGGGCGGAGGGGCGGCGGCGGUGGUGCGGGUCUACGUGGAGGUGCUCUCGGAGCUCACCUUCAACUGCAAGCCCAUCAUCACCGAGCUCACCAUCAUCGCCGGGCAGCACGCCGCGCUCGCCGCGAGGGGGAUCGCCGAGGCCAUCUGCGCGCGCAUCUGCGAGGUGUCUGCUGACCAGAAAUUACCAUCAUUGUAUCUGCUAGACAGUAUUGUGAAGAACAUAGGACGAGAAUAUGUAGGGCAUUUUGCCGCUAGGUUGCAGAAGGUUUUUUGUGAUGCCUACAGGAAAGUUCACCGCAAUCAGCAUGCUGCAAUGCGGCACCUCUUUGGUACCUGGUCACAAGUUUUCCCUUCUUCUGUGCUACGAGGAAUUGAGGAUGAGCUUCAAUUUUCUCCCUUAGAAAAUAAACGCCCUGCUGCAGUAUCAGAUAUCCGACAGUCAGAGUCGAUAUCUCCUAGACCGUCUCAUGGCAUUCAUGUAAAUCCAAAGUAUUUAGAAGCACAACAACAAUUCAAGCACACAACGUCGGUGCAUCAGCCAAUAACCCGAGGCAAUCGGCAAAUGACUGAUCUGGAGGAGGAUCAGAUAAAUGGGUUAACAUCUAAAAGCUCACGAGGAUGGCCGGCAACUAAUUUAAAGCUCCAGAAAUCUGCCAUGCCGUAUGCUGAUGGUCUUGAUCAACAAGAGACAUUUCAUUCGCAUACUGGAGGACCAUUGCCCAAUUCAAGAAGAACCAUGUCAAGAUCACCACCUCUUGAUGUGCUCCCUAGAAAUGCAUCCCCCAAGAGAGCAUUGGAGAGGCCGCCACUAUCCCAUUCUGUUCUAGGACCUGACCCUAGAAGGUUGCCCGAUCGAAACGGUUGGUUUGAUCGGAAGUGGGCUUUUGAGGAUGGUGCACCACGGCCUCCAAUGAGCAUACUUGAUGAAGAAUAUAGGAAACAAAGUGCAAGGGAACUUAUUGAUGCUUAUGGAAAUUCUCAAGGAAAAGAUGUUGAUGAAAGGCUUUCCAAGAUGCAACGUCUAGAUUCAAAUGGCAUGGCAAGCAGAUCUACUGCACAAAAAUGGCUUGCUUCAGAGGAAGAAGAGUAUACUUGGGAGGAUAUGAGUCCUACUUUAGCUGAUCGAAACAGGACCAGCGUGCCUUCUUUACCUCUUCCUGGAUCUGUGAGAGCUGGAUUUCCUGGGCCAAACAGCGUACUACUGGAGUCUGAUAUUAUGAGGCACAGUUGGCCAGCCCAAGCUCCUCGACCAGCAAUUGAUGGCUCAGCACUAAAUCUCGAAGAUAGGAUUCCUGCUAAUGGGCCUGUUGACAGAGCCGCCAAUAGGAGAUAUCCAGGCAAUUUUGGUGUUCAGAAUGGAGCCUUUUUAGAAUACCAGAGUUCUGAACAUACUCUUGAUCCUGGGAGAACUGCCAUGCCAGCUCCACCUUGGCAGCAGACUAUUGGUCAGCCCUUGCGGGUACAAGCACCCCAACCUGCAUCAAUUCUGAAUAGAAUGCCGCUGCCUACUGAUAGUGAAGUGCCAGUCAAGAGGUUGGCCACUGGUGGUACAUAUGAUGCACUGAAUGUAGACAUUCCUUUGUUGGAGAAGCACAGGUCCUCACCUGCUCAUGCUCCAAUGGAAUGGCCUCUUCAUACACAGUCACUAACUAUACAACCAACUCCAUCUGAUACCAGACAUCCUAGAGGUGCAGCAGAUAGUCUAGAUUCUAGGCCAUAUAUUAGUCAAGGAGCCAAUUCAUCUGUUUUUGUUCCACAGCAUCAAUAUGAUGCCUUGGAUCGGAGAACAAUAAACACUGAUGAUUUAGCUCAACCAUCAUAUCAGCAUCCUGAUUUGUUGCCAUUGAAUCAACAAAAUCAGGGCACAAUUUUGGGAAACCAAGCUCAACCUCACCACCCGCCGCAAUUUCUUCCCCAUCCUCAUUCUCACCUUCAGGAGACAGUUAGAAGCUUUGCACCCAGUAUGUCUGUUGCUCCACAAAAUAUAUUCCAAGGACAAGGAGGUAGUGCAGCUGUUCCUCCAGUUCCACUCCUGCCAAGUUCUUUUCCUGUACCACCUGCAGUGGCACCAUAUGGCUUGCCAUCUAUGCCUGGAUUUCCUCUGCCAUCAUUACCUUCAGGGCCACCUCCUCCAUCUCAGAUAGGUCCAUCAUCAUCCCAAGUUGGGGGCCCUCCAUUUGUCUCUGGAUUGUUAAGUAACCUUAUGCAGCAGGGUGUAAUUUCACUGCAGCCACCCAGCCAACCUCAGGAUUCUGUUGGCGUUGACUUCAAUGUUGACCUCAAGGUACGGAAUGAGUUUGUUAUUAAUGCUCUAUAUCAGGAUCUUCCAAGGCAAUGCAAAACUUGUGGCCUUCGUUUUAAAUGCCAAGAAGAGCAUCGUGCUCACAUGGAUUGGCAUGUUACGAAAAACAGAAAUUCAAAAAAUCGUAAGCAAACUUCACGUAAAUAUUUUGUCACUGUGGGUGAAUGGUUGAGAGCAGCAGAAACAGUAGGAAACGAUGGCGUUCCUUCUUUUGAGCCUGCCGAACCAGUUGCAGACACGAAGGAAGAGAAAGAAUUGGCUGUUCCUGCAGAUGAGGACCAAACUGCAUGUGCUUUAUGUCAGGAACCAUUUGAAGAUUUCUAUAGUGAUGAAACUGAAGAGUGGAUGUACAAAGGUGCAGUUUAUAUGAAUGCACCAGAUGGCAAUGUUUAUGCUCUAGACAGGUCGCAGUUAGGACCUAUUGUCCAUGCUAAAUGUCUGUCUGGGCCAAACAAUACUUAGGCCGGCCUAGUUGGUGGUACUCUUGCCUCAUUUGUUUCAAUUUCGUUGGCUGCGGCUCUUGACAAGACAUGUAAACUACUGGAGAAAUCAGAUUUUGGACAAUCAGUCGGUUAGCUGGCUGGUAACUUCAAAAAUCAAAAGGCACCCAAAGCGACCAAAGGAUGGAAGCAAAAUCAACAGCUUAAUCUCCAGAGUUUCGAAUGGAGGAGCUACCGAGCAGCUGCCUCUUCUUCCUGCCUUUUAUCUUUUUUCAUACCCUUUGGUAUGGGGCAUUCUAGCAUUAACAUGACAGUUUCUUUGGUCGCAUGUAUGACUCAUCUUUCUGGAUAUGUUUGCACAUGUCAAGUUCAGACAAGAGUAUUUUUAAGUAUGCUAUUUAAAUAUAUUUCUGGAAUUCUUGUACCUUCGUUGUUAUUAUAUUUCUGUCCUGUUGCAAUUGGUUACAGGAAUAUCGGACAAUACGUCAUGG
RNA transcript from Oryza brachyantha (malo sina), 3385 nucleotides. It is a transcript of the gene named polyadenylation and cleavage factor homolog 4-like, with no coding region annotated. The record is from RefSeq and is a predicted model, not a curated record. The transcript has 8 exons. NCBI's taxonomy places the organism in Eukaryota, Viridiplantae, Streptophyta, Magnoliopsida, Poales, Poaceae.